This 332-nucleotide ribosomal RNA is filed under the name uncultured eukaryote. RNAcentral describes it as "partial 18S ribosomal RNA". It matches the Rfam family "Eukaryotic small subunit ribosomal RNA", at positions 1470 to 1796 of the family's 1831-position model. The record is from RNAcentral.
CCCUUAGAUGUCCUGGGCUGCACGCGCGCUACACUGGAAGUUACGGAUUGAGAUACUACCUUGUCCGAAAUGGUCCGGGUAAUCACCUAAAAGCUUGUCAUAAUUGGAAUGGAUUAUUGUAACUAGUAAUCCUGAACGAGGAAUUCCUAGUAAGUCCCAGUCAACAGCUGGUACUGAUUACGUCCCUGCCCUUUGUACACACCGCCCGUCGCUACUACUGAUUGGACGUUUAAGCAAGAUUUUUAAACACUGACAGUGUGUAGUUCACGCUAUACUACAGGGAGAAGAAGAAGAUCGAGCUUACUUGUCUAGAGGAAGUAAAAGUCGUAACA